Long non-coding RNA from Oncorhynchus kisutch (coho salmon), 2557 nucleotides. RefSeq lists it as uncharacterized. Lineage: Eukaryota; Metazoa; Chordata; Actinopteri; Salmoniformes; Salmonidae. The transcript is spliced from 3 exons. The record is from RefSeq and is a predicted model, not a curated record.
AGGUACUAACGGUGUCCAUUUCCUAUUUUUCAUUUGCAGACGAAGCAGUCCAUAAGUUACCUGGGCACGUACAAUUUUGACAGAUCUGGCCUCCCGCCAAAGGAAGGUGUGUUAUCAGGUCAAAGGUCAACCCAGAGGAGGAUACGGACUUGUUCGGACACAGAGGCUCACAAUGACAGCUGUGUUUAUGAGAUGGACCGCGCUGCUGUGUCUCAAUGCCAGUGUGAACAGGGACUCCUACAGUGUCCCUGAGUGUGGUGCCAUCAGGCCUACCAGUCCCAGAGCUAUGUCAGACACUCCAGAGACUGACCUGUCCAUCUGACCUGUCCUGUAACUCACCAAAUACAUUGCAGUGGCUUCAGGUAAAGAGACUGGGCCCAAAUUCACAAACUUUCAUAAACAUUUGAGGUUCAUAAGAAAAUCAUGAAUUCUUAAGAAUAUUUGAGGAAUUGCACUUACGAACAAUCUUCUUGACUUUUCUUAAAAAGCUCAUGUUUUUUCUUUAAAGUUUUUUGUAAAUCCAGGUCUUGGGAGUUGAGAUUGGUAGUCCACUGUCAUGUAACUGAUCUGUCUGUUCAGUAACAAUUUGUAUUGUUUUUUUUUAUUAUUAUUAUCAUGUUUGCCACCAAAAAAGAGUAAUGCCGUAAAAAAGAUUUUGGGCAUGGAUGGAGUUCUGUGACUGUAUGAUAUAAUAUUUGAAAUGUAAAGAUGCAUCUUAAAAAUGAAGUUAAAUCACUUGUUUGUAUAUGAGGGUUAUAGCAAUUUUUGCACUUUCCGCAAUUCUUUAGCACUACUAAAAUGUCCUUAGGAAAUAUGUUGCAAUGAGGGCUCAUCUUCAGUGUCAGUGUAGAAGUGCUGAUCUAGGAACAGUUUGCCUUUUAGAUCAUAAUGAAUACAGUUAUAUGGGAACGAGGUUGCUGAUUCUAGAUCAGUACUACUAGUCUAAAAUGUUUUAUGAAUAUCUGAUAAACCUGUCAUAUUGAACAGUUGUCCCUCUAUUCUGAAAGGCUGUCACAUAGCCUAACCCCUUUUCAUCUUAAGAAAUACGAUGCAAUACAAUGCAUUCAUUAUCUGUGAAAGAAUUUCAGAUGCCAGCAGUUUCGGACUGAAGGCUUCUCAGAAUGAACUGACAAUGAAGUGACACAGCCACAUAUCGAUGCCAGCAGGGGGUGCUGCUGACAUAUUGAUGACCCAUGUCAAGCACCUGACCCCUAGGGUUGCAAGCACCGGCCAACGUGAAGGAUACCAAUUUACUAAAUGUCACUAUAUGAGAAUCUCAAUUUAAUUUCCUUUAUUCCUUGUGUCCUUUUGCCUCCUUUUCAAACCCCAUUGGGGGGGUUGAAAGAUCAGAAGGGAUGUCCCUGCCUUCUGAUCAUCUCAUUCAAUGCGUUUUGAGACUGAGGCAAGGAGAGGAUGCAAGGAAAAAAGGAAAUGCAAUUGAGAUUCUCCCUAUGUCAGUGAAGUGACUGUGAGGGUCCCACACUGAGGAUGACCUCUGUGGCCCAUUUUUCCAGGGACAAUAAUAUGGUGUAUGUUGCAUCAUCAUACAUUUUUGCUUUUUUCCACAAAAUGCUCAAUCAUAACUUUCCUGCUUGACAUACUCAACUUUUGGGACCAUAUCAACAGCGGACUUAUACCCAAACAUAUUUUAUUUUGUAAAGUGAUCCUUUUAAAAGUCCAAGCAAGCAGGUCAAAGCAUCACUAACUAGGCCUACUUUUAUUGUAAUGAAUGAUAGCUUAGGAAUUGUACAGUAGGUUGUUCACACUACAACAAAAUGUGGUGUGAAUACUUUCUGGCACUGUUGAGUGACUGUCAGUGACUGACAACAAGAGAAACUGCUGAUGCACAACCAAAUUUCUAACUUAAUGCUUCGGUAUCUCCCUUUCUCCUUUUCCUUACCCCUUUCUGUCACUUAUGCCUGGAGCCGGCUCUGAAAGCCGUAAAAAAAUAGUUCUCACAGCCUUUCAAGUCAAAAUGUCAGUUUAUUUAGAAGUAGUGUAAAUUCAACUAGGCCUAGUUUGUAUUCUCCAAAUACUCUCCCCAGGACUCCAUAGGAAUAGUUUCUUGUGACAGAAUAUACAUGUUGUUGGAUCUGGGUUCUGAGGUUACAACAGGAUGCAAUUCAGAUGAGAACUCUCAUCUCUAACAGUAGACUACUGCUCAAGUCUCCAAUGGUAACAACACAGCUAGAGCUCCAUCUCUUGGUUACAAAAUCACUCACCGUGCUGGAACUACUGACCAGUGCAAGGCUAAAUUCCUCUGGGAGUCCAUCCUGUUAUGCUGACCCCAGAAACCCCUCUGAUGAUCCUGAGGGAGGUUGAUCAUCCAGACUCAUCUCAGAAGGUUGUGUCGGAUACUGAGCUGAACCGUAGGCCUUGCAGUGUCCCGGGCCUGGCCCAGAGUGCUGUGCAUCAUAUGCAGGCCAGAGCCAAUGCCAGUAAGGUUUCUGGGUUCCUGACAGGGGAGUGGUUGAAGGAUAGUCCUCCUGUCAAUCAGGAGGUGAGCCAGCUCAAGAGGCCUGAACUGUAUCUCGAGGAUUGCAGCAUCAUAGCAAAC